RNAcentral lists this ribosomal RNA (403 nucleotides) under uncultured bacterium. RNAcentral describes it as "partial 16S ribosomal RNA". It matches the Rfam family "Bacterial small subunit ribosomal RNA", at positions 28 to 526 of the family's 1533-position model. The record is from RNAcentral.
GACGAACGCUGGCGGCGUGCCUAAUACAUGCAAGUCGAACGCAGUGGGGACAGGUGAGUAACACGUGGGUAACCUCCCAUCAGAGGGGAUAACACUUGGAAACAGGUGCUAAACCGAUAUUGGUGGAUGGACCCGCGGUGCAUUAGCUAGUUGGUGAGGUAACGGCUCACCAAGGCCACGAUGCAUAGCUGACCUGAGAGGGUGACCAGCCACACUGGGACUGAGACACGGCCCAGACUCCUACGGGAGGCAGCAGUAGGGAAUCUUCGGCAAUGGGCGAAAGUCUGAUCGAGCAACGCCGCGUGAGUGAAGAAGGUUUUCGGAUCGUAAAGCUCUGUUGGUAGGGAGGCGGUAUCUGCCCAGAAAGCCACGGCUAACUACGUGCCAGCCGCCGCGGUAAUUC